AGCAGCCGCGGUAAUACGGAGGGUGCAAGCGUUAAUCGGAAUUACUGGGCGUAAAGCGCACGCAGGCGGUCUGACAAGUCAGAUGUGAAAUCCCCGGGCUUAACCUGGGAACUGCAUUUGAAACUGUCAGGCUGGAGUCUUGUAGAGGGGGGUGGAAUUCCAGGUGUAGCGGUGAAAUGCGUAGAGAUCUGGAGGAAUACCGGUGGCGAAGGCGGCCCCCUGGACAAAGACUGACGCUCAGGUGCGAAAGCGUGGGGAGCAAACAGGAUUAGAUACCCGCGUAGUCCCUGUUCUCUUAUAC
This 301-nucleotide ribosomal RNA is filed under the name uncultured bacterium. RNAcentral's name for it is "partial 16S ribosomal RNA". It matches the Rfam family "Bacterial small subunit ribosomal RNA", at positions 510 to 810 of the family's 1533-position model. The record is from RNAcentral.